Molecule: ribosomal RNA, 1047 nt
Filed under: Frigoribacterium sp. 1056G77
Lineage: Bacteria; Bacillati; Actinomycetota; Actinomycetes; Micrococcales; Microbacteriaceae
Description: bacterial SSU rRNA
Rfam family: Bacterial small subunit ribosomal RNA
Source: RNAcentral
UGCAAGUCGAACGGUGAAAGAGGAGCUUGCUCCUCUGGAUCAGUGGCGAACGGGUGAGUAACACGUGAGUAACCUGCCCCAGACUCUGGGAUAAGCACUGGAAACGGUGUCUAAUACCGGAUACGAGCUUCAGCCGCAUGGCUAGGAGCUGGAAAGAAUUUCGGUCUGGGAUGGACUCGCGGCCUAUCAGCUAGUUGGUGAGGUAAUGGCUCACCAAGGCGACGACGGGUAGCCGGCCUGAGAGGGUGACCGGCCACACUGGGACUGAGACACGGCCCAGACUCCUACGGGAGGCAGCAGUGGGGAAUAUUGCACAAUGGGCGCAAGCCUGAUGCAGCAACGCCGCGUGAGGGACGACGGCCUUCGGGUUGUAAACCUCUUUUAGUAGGGAAGAAGCGAAAGUGACGGUACCUGCAGAAAAAGCACCGGCUAACUACGUGCCAGCAGCCGCGGUAAUACGUAGGGUGCAAGCGUUAUCCGGAAUUAUUGGGCGUAAAGAGCUCGUAGGCGGUUUGUCGCGUCUGCUGUGAAAACUGGAGGCUCAACCUCCAGCCUGCAGUGGGUACGGGCAGACUAGAGUGCGGUAGGGGAGAUUGGAAUUCCUGGUGUAGCGGUGGAAUGCGCAGAUAUCAGGAGGAACACCGAUGGCGAAGGCAGAUCUCUGGGCCGUAACUGACGCUGAGGAGCGAAAGCAUGGGGAGCGAACAGGAUUAGAUACCCUGGUAGUCCAUGCCGUAAACGUUGGGAACUAGAUGUAGGGACCAUUCCACGGUUUCUGUGUCGCAGCUAACGCAUUAAGUUCCCCGCCUGGGGAGUACGGCCGCAAGGCUAAAACUCAAAGGAAUUGACGGGGGCCCGCACAAGCGGCGGAGCAUGCGGAUUAAUUCGAUGCAACGCGAAGAACCUUACCAAGGCUUGACAUAUACCGGAAAAGUUCAGAAAUGUUCUCCCCGCAAGGUCGGUAUACAGGUGGUGCAUGGUUGUCGUCAGCUCGUGUCGUGAGAUGUUGGGGUUAAGUCCCGCAACGAGCGCAACCCUCGUUCUAUG